Long non-coding RNA from Monopterus albus (swamp eel), 1362 nucleotides. RefSeq lists it as uncharacterized. The record is from RefSeq and is a predicted model, not a curated record. NCBI's taxonomy places the organism in Eukaryota, Metazoa, Chordata, Actinopteri, Synbranchiformes, Synbranchidae. The transcript is spliced from 3 exons.
UCAAUGUGACUGUGACACUGGAAGCAGUGUUGUCUAUUUGGGGAAGCCGUCAGUGCAGUGAUGUACGUGCUAAACCUGUGGUUAGCUUAAAAAAGUGACUAGAUAAGCUCGCAGUGCAGUAUACGAAACAUAAGAAGACAAAUAUUAUGUUCGGUGAGACAAGGCAGAAUAAAGUCCCUGUUCAAGCAAAGUUCUCUAAUAUCUCAGUCUUCUCUUCAGGACCACCGAGCCCAGGGCUGCUAAGGCUAGCUAGCAUAAACACCAGAGGACUCCCACCUUCCGUUUGGAGCGCACAUCUGCAAAGAUGCAGCAACAGACGCAUGCUGGCGGAAGCAGACAAACUGCCCACACUUGACUUCAACAGCCCUCAGUUUGAGCUGAUGAUGCUUCUUGGAUGAAGUUAACCCAGAUGUGAAAGGCAACUCAUGGAGCCAACCCAAAGGACCUCCCACUACCAGUUUGACCCAGUGCACUACUUUGGGCCUCCGAGGCCGUCUUCCUACACAGACGCCUCCUUCGAGCUUUAUCCGUCUGAGCCAGAGGCAAUGCCAGUCCACCUGGAGCCCCCCCACACUGAGCAAACCAGGAACAUGAGCACGAAAAUGAGCGAAGUCAAGGACCAGAACAACAGACGCCAGAGGAAAUCCCUCCUCCACUCUCUGGUGGGGAGCAGCCUGAGUGUGAGACCAUAGAUGAGUUCUAGCACUGAACUACACACUAAUUCUGUGUUCACACUGGAUGAGUGACAGAGCUUUUUUUCUCACUAAGCAUCAGAACUGAACUGGGCACUGACUGGUUUUUCUUAUUUUUUUUAACUCGAUUCAAACAGCAGUCACACCAAAGCACAAACGUGUGUUGUAUUUUUCAUACUGUCAGCACCUUUUCUUCUCUUUAGGUCAGGCUCUAAAUAGUGAGACAGAGGAAAGAAUAUGUUGAAUAGAGGAGGAUGUGUGAUGUCUAAACCAGGCUCUGGAGACCCUGAGGGGACUGAAUGGACUGAGAAGAGUCUUUGAGCCUCACUGAAAGAGGACACCAACAGGAUGCCGCAGGCUGACGGGAGGAGAGAGAGCUAGGGUUGUGUGUUGUCAGUGCCAGAGGGAACAAGGUGAGAAGUAGGAGCAGAUGAAAGAUGCUCUGCAGGAAGGUACCGCUGACUUGAGAUCACAGCUGUGAAACCUCCAGGCACAGCUCCAUGAUUUAAAGGCUACAGAGACUUGCUGUGGUAGAGUGAGUGGACUAGUUGACAGGUGCAGCUGCUGCAAACACCGGUGGCAGGCCUCAACUAGUCUCAAGGACACCUGAGUGUGGAGCUGGGUGGACAAAAGGACAACAUAGAGGGAAUGUUGGCGGGGCAUCUGGUCU